This 850-nucleotide ribosomal RNA is filed under the name uncultured bacterium. RNAcentral describes it as "bacterial SSU rRNA". It matches the Rfam family "Bacterial small subunit ribosomal RNA", at positions 50 to 893 of the family's 1533-position model. The record is from RNAcentral.
GGUGCUUGCGCCUGAUUGACGAUGGAUCACCAGUGAGUGGCGGACGGGUGAGUAACACGUAGGUAACCUGCCCCGGAGCGGGGGAUAACAUUUGGAAACAGAUGCUAAUACCGCAUAACAACAAAAGCCACAUGGCUUUUGUUUGAAAGAUGGCUUUGGCUAUCACUCUGGGAUGGACCUGCGGUGCAUUAGCUAGUUGGUAAGGUAACGGCUUACCAAGGCGAUGAUGCAUAGCCGAGUUGAGAGACUGAUCGGCCACAAUGGAACUGAGACACGGUCCAUACUCCUACGGGAGGCAGCAGUAGGGAAUCUUCCACAAUGGGCGCAAGCCUGAUGGAGCAACACCGCGUGAGUGAAGAAGGGUUUCGGCUCGUAAAGCUCUGUUGUUGGAGAAGAACGUGCGUGAGAGUAACUGUUCACGCAGUGACGGUAUCCAACCAGAAAGUCACGGCUAACUACGUGCCAGCAGCCGCGGUAAUACGUAGGUGGCAAGCGUUAUCCGGAUUUAUUGGGCGUAAAGCGAGCGCAGGCGGUUGCUUAGGUCUGAUGUGAAAGCCUUCGGCUUAACCGAAGAAGUGCAUCGGAAACCGGGCGACUUGAGUGCAGAAGAGGACAGUGGAACUCCAUGUGUAGCGGUGGAAUGCGUAGAUAUAUGGAAGAACACCAGUGGCGAAGGCGGCUGUCUGGUCUGCAACUGACGCCGAGGCUCGAAAGCAUGGGUAGCGAACAGGAUUAGAUACCCUGGUAGUCCAUGCCGUAAACGAUGAGUGCUAGGUGUUGGAGGGUUUCCGCCCUUCAGUGCCGGAGCUAACGCAUUAAGCACUCCGCCUGGGGGAGUACGACCGCAAGG